GCAGCUCUGGGAGCCGGAGGGACGGGGCCGGGCGGCCGGCGGCCGCCGCGCUCGCCUGACCUGUGUGCCCCGCUGGCCGCGCCGGGCUGCCCCGAAGGAUGUCCGCCCAGUCCAAGGGGACCGCAUCCUCCUCCUCGUCGCCGUCCGAGGAGCCGCCGGCAGGCUCCAAAGCCAAGGUGAAGGAGCAGAUCAAGAUCAUCGUGGAGGAUUUGGAAUUAGUCCUGGGGGACCUGAAAGAUGUCGCCAAGGAACUUAAGGAGGUGGUUGACCAGAUUGACACGCUGACUUGUGAUCUGCAGCUGGAGGAUGAGAUGACAGACAGUUCCAAAACAGACACACUUAACAGCAGCUCCAGCAGCACAACAGCCUCCAGCUUGGAGAAGGUCAAGGUGCGGGGCAAUGCGCCCCUCAUCAAGCCACCUGCGCACCCCUCCGCCAUCCUCACCGUGCUGCGGAAGCCAAACCCGCCCCCUCCUCCGCCUCGACUGACGCCGGUCAAAUGUGAUGAGCCUCCGAGGCUGCCUCCUUUGGCCAACCCCGUCAAGACUAAUGGCACCCUGCUGCGGAACGGGGGCCUGCCUGCCGGGCCCGGACGCAUCCCAAACGGAGAUAUGUGCUGUAUACCGAACAGUAAUUUGGAGAAAGUCGUGAUGCAGCCUCUGAUGCACAGACCUGAGAAAGAGCGGUGUCCCCAGCCAGGAGGAAGGGAGCGGGUACGGUUCAGUGAAAAAGUGCAGUACCACGGCUACUGCCCCGACUGUGACGUUCGGUAUAACAUUAAAAACAGGGAAGUGCACUUGCACAGUGAGUCCGCCCGGGUUGCAGGAAAGCUGCCACACCAGUGCCCUCCUCUGCCGCCUCCACCACCUCCGUUGCCUCCAUUUCUUCUGGAAAAUGGAGGGUUGGGGAUAAGUCCCAGUAAUAGCUUUCCCCCUCCGAGACCUGCAAUUGUGCCUCCGCAAACCGCGCCAAAACCCCAGAAGACCAUCUUGAGGAAAUCAACCACUACAACAGUGUGAAGUAUGCCCCUUGUACUAACUCUUUGUUUUUUCCUAUAUAUAAACAUAAAUAGGUAAUGAGCACUUUCUACUUGAGCAAUAAAAAGACCCAAUGUAUUACACCCUGUGUCCAGUGAAGUGGCAUAAAAAUCACAUGAUGGAUUACAGAAGAAAAAAAAGGGCAAGCACUUCAAGUGGAUUUGAUCUGAAUCCCCAGUAGGGAUGGGAAUAGCACACAGGUUUUCCUUCCCUUGGAACCAGAUGGCUCAGGUAGAAAACAGUAUUACCAGUGGUUUGGAGUGUUAAUGAUGAUGAAUUUAAGAGCAAGUCUGGUCACAGGAGGAAAUGAAUUCUAGAAAAGAAAUGAACUUCAGAUAGUCCACUUCUGAGUUCUUAUGGAAAAGUCUGUUAGAGGAAAAACUUCUAGAAUUUCAGUUACUGAGAAAAUAGUUUAAAAUGAAGUAUUCAUUUUCAGCUGAGAGCUAGUUAAAAGUGACAUGUUAUCUGCCACCAGUGUGUGUCUCUAAUGAAGACAGAAAUGUGUGGUUUGUAGCCCAGAACAUCUUUCAGAGUCAUGGUCUAUUAUGUCACCAACUGUAUAAAAUACAGGCAUUUGGGAUAAGUACAAACCAAUUUCAGCCCAGUGGUUAUGAUCAAAACUGGAUAAUAAGGCUUAAAUAAAUAAAUUAAGUUAUCUGUUAAGAAAAUUCCUGUUAUGAAAAUGUGAAUGAUUAAGGUCAAACAUGAAGACAAAGGUUUUUUUUUUUGCAGUCUCUGCACUGGUGGUCACAAAUGAUAAUAUUUAAAGAUGACUACAAACAUGUUAGUAUGCUCAUGUAUUCUUUCUGGUAGUACGAAUCUUGUGUGAUCUACAAAUUCUUAUCUUCAGAUAUGUUGGUUGCAUUUCAGCUUGUUGAAAUUUGUAUUUUACAGGAAUCUCAUCAGUAAAAAGCAUGAUGUCUAGACAGAAAUAUGGUUACCAGAAAGUUUAAGGUGACUAAUGGCUUUUGUUGACACUCAAUCCAGGUAGAUGACUUAAGCAAACAUAAUAAUUUUACUAAUUGCUUUGAAGAGUAUUACAUUAUCUUCAUAUCACCUUUAAAAUGUAUCAAUGCAAUGAUUAGCUGUGCAUUCAAAAGGUUUUAUUGAAAUUAAGUAGGGAUGAAGAAAAAUAUACCCCUUAAUAGUACUCUGAAAUGUUACUAUUAAUCUCUGUAGGCUAGAUGAAGCUGUAGAAAGUAAGUUUAAAACAUUAAAAUUUUAAGUAGUGUGAGCAUUUCCUACCUAAUCUAACUGGGUUAGAUACUCACACUUUUCAAUCCUUUGGAGUUAUUUGCAUUUAGAUAUCCUAUAAAUAAAUUAUUAAAUAAGUUAUUUAGAAAGUUCUGGCCCGCUAUGUGAUUUCUACAGUGGGUAUGAAAUGGGACAGCUUUAUGAGUUUGAAAUACACCCUAAAGUAGUUAAUGAUGUAGAGACAUUAAAAUCUCAUCUUAGAUUUUAUGUUCAACCUAGGAUUCCUUGCUAAAACCUUCUUAAAAUUAAUGAAUAACUCCCCUGUGCAUUAGGAUUUGAGUAAUACUGUUUUAUGUAUUUUCUGUAAUAAUUAAUGCUGUGAGAUCUGACACCAGGGCCAAAUUGCAUUGUUACUGCUAAUUAGCCUUGUGUUUUAGAAAAGAAACAGGGAAAAAAACCCAGUGAGACUUGGAAAUACUAUUUCAAUGUAUUUUUAUAGGUAUGUUGGUUUUAAGUGUGAAAUGCAUAUAUAAAUUCCAUAUUCUAUAGGAAUGGUACUUGGACAUAGCAAUAUCUCUUGUUCUUUUCAUUAUUUAAAUUGAAGCAGGGCAUGUAAUUUAUCAAAGAGGAAAACAAACUAUUUUUAACUGUUUUAACUAAUUUUCUUCCACAAAUCUAUUUUUCCUUUGAGAUAGAACUGAGCCAUGAAAAACACUGUAAAUUCAUUGUAUUGUAAUGCUUGUGCUGUACAAAACAAUAGUGUUUUCAGCAUAGUGUUUUCUAAUAGAUCUUACAUGCUUAAGUAAAACAUGUUUCUCAGUGAAAAUCAGCUGCUGACCCCACAUAGGAUCAGCAUUGGCUGAGGAAUUCCUCAGGAGCUGCAGGAAGAAGCUAGAUGAUAGUCUCAAUGACUUUUCCAAAGAUCCAUGAGAACUCAUAACGAAGAGGAAACUAUGACAGAAAAUAGAGGUGAAUUUUGGGCUGUGUAAUGGUGACUGUUUUAAUUUUUUAAGUCAUUAGUGAUGUAAACUUGUAGGAAGAAGGUGCAUGCAUGUGAUAGGCAGGGAGCGUGCCCUCCUCACUGGAGCUUUGUGAGAACAAUCAAUGUGCAUUGAAGAGUGCAAGAGCAAAGGGCUGGGCAGCCAUGCAGAAAGCACAGUUUGUAUGGUUGACAAAUUGAAGAAAGGACCACUAGACUUGGAUGUCUAGCAAAAUAAAAAGAAAAAUUUCCAUUUGUUGGGAGAAAUUCAGUAUACUUUCAACAUUACCUAAAUUUACAUAAGUUUGCAUGACUGGAACAGUCCAUUCUGAGGUUAUCGCCUCCUUCAUGUGUGACAAGUUCAUAUGUAUGAUAUGUCAAUGAAGAGAAAAAUACCUAAGUUUAGACUAAGAAUUAGAAUGUUAGGAUCAUAAAUGCCUGUGGAAGUAUUAAAGUCCAGAGAGACAGAUAGGCCCAUUUGUACAUGAAUGUUUUAUAACAGUGUCACCCUUUAGGAAAAGGUCAGAAAUACUAGAGUGUCUUCUAGUCACUCAAAGCAGUCAUGUAACAGUAGCAGUAAGGGUCAAUGUGUUGAGAAGGUUUCAAGGCUAUGAGUGUACAUUUCCACAGAGAGGACAUUUGCAUUUUUUCAAGAAGAAAGUUCCACCUGUAUUAGACAAUGCCUUGAUAGUAGUAUUCCAGUAAAUACCAGAAGAAAUAAAAUGACUGCUAAUAAAACUACUACUCACUGUCAAGUCUGUGAAUUUUUAGGAUGGUGAUUUUCCCAAGUAAAAGCAUGUAUCAUACUGAAUUCAUGCACCUUGGUUGUGAGCCUGCCCUCACAGUAGAGACUUGCCAGGCAGGUGGCAUACAAGAGGAUGUUAGGGCAGGAGCACCAUGCCCAGCCAGCUGUUGUGUCUGCACCCAGUGGUGGUGGUGGUGCAGACACAGUCUGGGGGGCUGCAAAGAGGCAGUACCAGUCAUCCCUAUCUCUGCCGUGGGGCUAUGUCUGCAGCUCUUGUAGAUUAGCUUCUUGCUGUUGCAGAUCUCUCACCUGUGGUCCAGGCUGUACUGUCAGCCCAGGUGUAGGGCUUAUGUAGGUGGGGAGGUGUUCACCUAUUCUUAGGCAUCACCACAGUGAAGAGAGUGGAACAACCCAAAGAGAGGUGCAGUGUCCUUUCAUGUAGUUGCUGUGUUAUGGGCUGAUUUGAAAGGUGGAAAUCAAUCUGCACUAUAUCACAUGGAGCAUAAAUGAUUCAGCAUGAUACAGUUAAUACAAAUUUUACUUCCAUAUCUUCCAUCAAAACCCAUCAAUUUAUCACUGAUAAGGUAUGACAGAAGGAAUGAAAUAAAAAAAUCAAUUGUAAAAGCAUUAAGCAAUGAUUACUUCAGAUGAUUUUUAAAAUUAGUUUUUAAGUACCCAUGGAUUUUUUUAAGUACUGAAAGGUAUCCAAUAUUUUUAUGAAUAAGUGUAAUUUCUGAAUAUAAGCCAGAUUUUAAAUUUGCUAAGAAUAUGUCACCUUAGGGGACUUUUAAACAUAGUUUUUGUAAUUGCUGUAAAAUUAUAUAAGAAAUUUAAAUUUUUUUAACCAUCAUUGGCAUGCAAAUUGUUAUAGGAAUCAACAACAGGAAUUACAUUUUACUGAACACAGAAAAACAUAAAUAACCGCCUUGGAUUUUCCUUCUAAUUCCGUCUCAGUUAACAGGCCCUUGUUUCAAAAUUCUAUUAAACAAAGGGGUUUUAUCUGUUUAAUGUUGUGGCUUUCUGAGAGAACUUUCUGGUACUGUCUUGAUCAAGAUCAAGAGCAUAAUGAUCCUUCUGAAAAAGCUUUAUGUUACUUUUUUUCUGAUUGCCUAUUUUUUAAAGGGAAAAAUAAUUAUCUGAGAUAAUAUCAUCCAACUUAGUUUUUGUACUGCUACUAUUGGACUGCUGCAAUAAAAAUAAAAUUAUUACCAAUUGCUUCUGUACACAUAUUUAUAAAAUAAUUACUAUCUGAACAGCAGAAGACUUAUAUUUGAAUUAAAACUUCUAAAGCACAAUAUUCAUUUUAGCUGCUUCUGAUGCAUCCUUAUCAGUUAGUAGAGUGCUGAGCUAACUCUUAAACAGUUUGCAGUUUUUGAACUUUCUUAUUUAUGGGAGCUAUUUUUGGGGUAAAGGAAGGAGAAUAAUACAUGGAAAGAAUUAUUCACCUCUAAUCUCUGCUGUAGAAAAUCCUUGCAUACCAUAUAAUUCCCUUUUUUGACUAGUGUAUAAUUUGACUUCAGCCCACAGGCAAGAUAGAAUGUUCAGGUUUUUGGUUGCUAUCUGUAGCUCUACAGCAAUAUUUCUCUUGAAAUUAGAAACAUGAGAAAUAUAGUUAACACAGUACUGGUCUUAGAGUCCAAAGAAAAAGAGGUCAAAAAGUCAGAAAGAAAAAGAAAAAGUGUCAGUUCUAGUUUUCCAAUAUUUUCACCGUCUGAGAUGGCAUUGUUCUAUGUAAUGUAAGCCAGCAGGGCCAAAGGGUUUCUUUGUAUCCAUCCUUUUAGUUAUAACUCUAAGGAAAGCCAGUGAAUUUUGACUCACAGUGGAAGUAAACAUGGACUGUGCAUUUGUAUGGCCAGAAUGAAAAACUGAUAUCUGUCAUUCCUUUCAGCAUUUAGAUAUUCUAUCUGACACAAAUCCAACUGUUUUUCAUUCACUCAUAAAUAAAGCGUGGGACAGAUGUGCUAGGUUUACAAAUUGCUGGAGAAGGAGGUGGUUGUUAAGACUGCCUUUCUUUUGCCCUCUGUUGCUAGUGAUAAGAGAAAUCCAAAUUGACUUGCUUCCUCUGCCUGAGGCAUUUUGAACUCACAGCUUCCCUCUGUCUGAAGCAUGCUCUGUGUUUCUGUAUGUAGUGGUAUGGCUUCAGCUGCUCAUGGCUUCUCUGGGAUUUUGGUAAAGAAAGGUGCUGCAAAAGAAGAGAGAGAACUGAGAUGAUGGUUGGAUUUUGGAAAAGCAAUGUAAGUAUCAUGCUGAAAGGACAGAGUAUCCUAUUUUUCAUCUACUGUAUCCUAUGCCUGAAGGAUGGAGUGAAUUUCUCUUUUGCAACCUCCACAAACACACUGUCUUCAGUGUUUCCAGCAGUUACGUAUGCACUGCCAAGGGCACUCAUUCAGGGCAUCACCUCUAAAGCCUCCCCAUUACCCACAGUUUCCCCAUCAGGUCUCCUUCAGACCCUGAGCUGCUGCUUCUGCAAAUGUGGUCACCAACCAGGUCAUGCCUUGUGCCAGCUUUCCUGCUUUCUCAACAACCAUAAGCAACUAGCAAAAACCUCACCAUGUUCUGUCUUCAUGUUCUUCCUGCUCAGGUCCCACACCAGAAGCUGUCUUCUCACAAGCUACAAAGGAGGUGAAGUCUUUUGACUUUUUAUCUUCUCUCCCCCAUAUUCUCUUGUGGAUGAGUGGAGUUACCUGACACUCAUUGCAGCAACAAAGGCAGCUGAGUGUCUUUUCAACCAUUCUCUCCUGGAGUAAGUUUAGACAUCCCCUAAAAUAGUCUAAAGUUUGGUUCUCAAAGUAAAAUAACUUCACAGUUACCCUGAGACUUUUAAUAGAAGAUUUCAGAAGGAUGUAUCUAGCAAUUUACUGUUCAGCACACACUCUGUGUUGGUGGGAGGAGUGGUAAGACUUCACUCAAAAUGGAGUCUGGUGGUGUUGUGGAAAAAGGCUUUUCAGAAGUGAGCUGUCAGCUUGUCAUUUGUCCAUUAUAUAUUUUGCAGUUUUGAUAUGGUACAUGAAGAUUUUGUUACAUCAUCACUGAGCUUUCAGCUGACUUCUGAAUUACUGUUGUGAUAAGUGCUCACAUGCUAAGAUCUUCUUAUGUUUCUUCCUGGUUUUGUGUUUCCUUGUUUUCUUAUUGAAAAAUCACUAUGGCACAGGUAAAACAGUUUACAAAAGUAAAUUUAGCGUCUUUAGUUUCAGUGAUGCUUACAAAUUAAUGCCUUUUUUUUUAAUCUAAGGAAUGUAUUUAAAAAGUUCAGGAUUUCUUUGCAAGCAGUAACUAUAUCAUUCCAGUUAUUGAUACAGAUGAUUCAGGUUAUUAUCCAUAUUUGUGGCUAAAAAAUACAAGGAUUGGACAUAAAAGCAACCAUUCCAGUUUUCUUCACUUAAAAGAUACUUUAUUGCUCUUACUUAGAUGCUCUUUUAGACAUUAAUCAUUAAGAGUUGCUUAGAUAACUUUAGAAAGGGGAAGUGAUAGUGAGGAAUAAUAUAUUUUUCAGUAUUAAUUGCAGAAGAAAGUUUAAUCAGGCCAAAGCUACACGUUCUCUUCUUGAGCUUGCAGGAGAAACACCAAGCCAUUUUAUUUUCCAUUACUAUUUUAUUCAGGUAAGAAUUUCUAGUAAAUACUUCCCCUCUCCAUUGUGCUGUCCAAAACACAGUUCUUUGCGCAUGCACACACGCACACACACAAACACACAAAAACUAACAAAAAAUCCGAAAAACCAAACCCACUACCAAAACAAAACAGAGUGCAUUAUGACUGGAACAGUGGGGAUUGUCCAAAUUAUGGAUUCAGCAGUCCUUCCUUCCUCUUUUGCUCCUGUCACGUGAUGUGUAACACAUAUAACAGUGUUAUAUCACACCUACAUAAUGGAGUUCUGGAAGCUCAUUUCUAGGAUUACUCAAAAUAAAUUAAAAGGCAUAAUUCCGAAUGCCUAAGAAGAACAUAAAUAGUGAUAUUUCUGAUGAACUGCUAUUUCUGCCUUUUUGAUGUCUGUUGCAUAUGUUUUGUUGUGUUUGAAAUGGUGGGUAAGAAAGCUAAUCAGUACAUUUUAAGAGAGAUGCACAGGACCAUCUCUUGUUUUAUAUACAGGUAUUUGCAAGAGCUAUUGAAACAGAAGUUGACCCCUUAAAGGGAAAGUUUGCAUUGAAUCAUUGUGUAUUUGCAAAAGUUAUAAAGUCCUGUAUUUAUUUUUCCAAUCCUGAAAGCACAUAUGUUCUAGUAGAGUAAUCAAAAAUUAGAGCUUUUUCCAAGGUUAACGUUCCAGGAAAAUAUAUAGGCUUUCUAUAAGGAGACUUUCAAAUGUCUUCAAUGUAAAUGUCAUGCCAGGUUGAUUUCUUUCAUUGUUGCUGAAAGUACGAUGCAUACAAAGACACCAAAUAAUUUCCUGAUCUUUUUUCACCUUCCAAUCUGAAAAUAUAUUCAGUCUCUGUUGUAUUUUCUAUUCAGUUUCUUCCUGACACGAUGAUUUCCUUGGGAGCUCGAGAAAGUAACUUGUUAAGUCUUGGUAAAUUAAUGUGUAGAAGCUUUAGUUUUUUCCUUUCACAGUGCAGAAAGGCUCAAGCAGUUGAUGGAACCCUUUCUAUUCUGCCUUAUGCUGGAAAGGGGCUGUGUUUGGUGGGUGGGAAGUCUUCCAAUAGGCUGUUGAAGCAUGAGGACUGGUAGUAAACUCUAUCCAUUGGCCUCAGGGCCUCAACUGCAUUUAUAGAUUUCUGCCCAAGAUUCAGCUGUGAGCUGCUCAAUAAUUUCUAGUAGCUAAAAAUUCCUAACAACAAAGACAGAAGGUCCCAGUGUCCAGCAAUAUCACAGAAACCCCUUUUAAAGAAAAGAACUGAAUUUGAGUAUUUUGACUAACCAGAAUAAUAAUGAGUAGUAAUAAUAAUGAAUCAUUGCGAGCCUUUAGUCACAUUGGCAUGUUUAGGGAGAACAGGAAAAUGUAAUUUCAGUAAUCUCCGUAUAUCUACUGUCAGUGAAAUUAAUACUUUUCCUUCUGUGGCAAAAUAUUUGUUCCAAAUGAUAAAGGAAAAAGUAAACCCUGUAAAGCACAUGGUAAUGAACUGUGAGUGGUUAGCUAGAAUCACAAAUUAUUUCAUCCCUCAACAGGAAAACUGCAGAAAAACUGCAUCAAAGAAUUUAUGGACUUUUUCUGAUGUUUUUUAAGUCCUUUUGGCUCACAAAGUAGCCCUAAUCCUACAAGGCUGCUGGAUCAUUUGAGUAAUUUGAAACAAAUGAAAGAUCGGUAAAUGUCAAAAAAAAGGGCAGAAAUAUUGAUAGUUACAUUGUCUCGUACAUGUCUCUUUUCACCCAUAUAGUUAUUUUUUUAAAAAAGUAAGGAGAUGGAGGGCUGCCAGCUCACUUAUCCUCUAUCCUUCCUAGCUCCAGGCUAUGAAUGAGAAAAGGUUACACCUGUCAGCUGGAAGAUGUACUCUGGGGAGAAUGAUUUUCAAACCAUUCACAGGUCACUUUAAGACAUGUAAUUAUACAAAAACCUCUAAAAUCUAAAAAUUGAAAUGUAAAAGUUUUUAAAUAAUAGCAGAUGCAAGUCCUUUAAAGCACUUAACUAUUCUGUGUGAACUUUCAGUUGUAAUGAUUCUAAUGUCCCUUUCAUUGACUGAUAAAAGGUUUUUUCCUUUGUCAUGUAGAUUAUGCUGUAUACCAAAGUAAUUUAUUUUUAUUCAUUGAGUCUAGGUUCACAGAGAUUCGAAUUAUCAUUCUGUUUUCUGUUACAUAGUCAGCUCCAGGAACUGACUGUUUUAAAAGUAAGCCACAGGAAAUCUGAAUUUUUACAGAAAAAAUACAUGGGGUACGGGAUGCUGGUGUCUUCUCUCGCAUGUCAGACCUUCCGUCUUUUUUUACUUUCUGCCAAGAGCUGGAAGGCAAUGAUGGCAAGGUCCUCAGAUUAAUUAAAGAGGUAAUAGGUGCAGAACUGAUAAAACACUCCCCAGCACUAGAUACUGGAUGUGACAUACUUUGGUAGUAAUUGCAAAUGCAAACCUGUUUCAUCCUUGAUGGUUUUGUUUCAAUGUUUGCUUCCUCUGAUAUUGCACAUGUUAAACUAGAUAGACAGACUUUGUAACCAACUCCCCAAGUGUGUUACCAGCUAUAUUUCACUAAUCAUUCAAAUUAAAAUGAUGCAUACAUUACGGACUUAGCUGUCUUUUGCAUUGUUUUCUUUUACUGAUCUUUUUUAUACCUCUAGUUGACACAGAUAUGCAUUCAGACUAAUUAAGGAAAUCUGCUUUGACUCAGCAUGAAAAGGAGGGCAAAAAUAAGGGCAGAAAGAUGAAAAUAGUAUCCCAUAUUAGAUAGCUCUUAUGUAAAAUAAAUGCAGUGAGAAUGAAUUGGUGUGUUCCGUGGACCAUAGGAGAUUCCCUUGGAGCAUCUCAGAUACCCAGUCUUAAUUUGGGAAAGCAGCAGUAUGCUGCAGGUUUAGGUAGACAUUCAUCUGCAUCCCUGCAUACUCAGGGAAGGACACUGAAUAAACAAGUUCUUGUUCACCACUAGCAAUGUAGGGUUUAUUCAUUUCACAAGUGUAGCCAAACCUCAAAAAGCAUCAAAACUCUUUAUUUUUUGUUUUGUAGUGUUUUGACUUGUACGUUCAAUAUUUCAGAGUAUUUACUUCUGAAAAUAAGCAGAAAUUUAUAGAACUUGAAAAGGACAGAGUGAAAUAAAAUGCUAACUUGUAACAUGUUGAUUAAAAUUAUUGCUUGGAUCUCAAAAAAAAAACCAAAAAACUGCAACCGAAUCAGAAAUGCAGGCAAAUUUUCUUUUAUAGAGUGAAGUGCCUCAUAUGCAAGACUGGCUUUAUGGUUUGAUUAUUGUCUACUGAGCACAUGGUACAAAUUAUUUCAGUAACCCCCUCAUAAAGUAAAGCUCAAGUACUUUUCAUAUUAAAUGAAAUUAUAGCUAAACAAUUGAUAUCUCCUGUUGAAGAGCCACCCCCAGACAUUAAAGUGUUUGUCAGUUCACAUUAAUUUCCAUAUUAUCAUUAGGAUAUAUCUUCUAGGGAUGAAACUAAGCUGCAGUGUGACUGCUUCUGUAGAGAGAGACCCACUCAGUCUAAUUCUCACAUGGGUCGCUGCUGUUGCUACAACUGUAGUGGCCACUUGAGCCGUGGCUGUGGAUGUGGCCUUGCAAACUAACUGGUUGCAGUCUCCUGGAUAUUGCCCAAGAUCUGUCCUGCAUCUAGCCCAAAGGAGUGGAAGAAAGAGAGAAUUAAUAUAUCUAUAUGUACAUUCUAUGUAUACAAAUACAUAAGACACAUAAAUAAUGCAUAAAUAUACAUCUAAAUGUUUAUAUUUACAUAUCUGCAUAUAUAUUCUAUUACAACAGUUUAUAAGCAAGCAUUUAUGUGUAUUUAGACUUGCUUUUUAAGCAAGUCUACAUCAGAAGCCUGCAAGUCUGUCUGCAAAUGAAUAUUGGGACAAGCUAUAGCUUCUUACUUUGAAAUGAAAUGCAUAGAUCAAAUUUUAUACUCUAGUACAAAGAGAAAGCUGAUUUCAUCUUCUUGAUAAUUUCUUUCUUUUUCUCUUCAUGUUAGUUAAGUACAAGAUGAUUUUUUGAGAAAAUAAUUUUUGGGGAGCUGGUAAACGUAUCCGAGAGACAAAAUGAAUCAAAAGCACCCUCCCAGAAAUAUUUGUGAGUACUUUUCUCAUGAAAGAUGUAACAUAAGAUAUCAAAAAAAUCAUGAGAAAGUAAAUAAGCUUCCCAGGACUGUAUUCACACUUGACAUAACCAAUUCUACCUUAAAAAUAUGCGUUACAUUAUCACCAAAACAGAUUUCCGACACCUAAGGGACCAAAAAGGCAAAUCAAAAGAAUGUCCAGAAAAAUGACCUGGUCAAAAUGUUUCUAAAAUUUGAAAGUGGUAAACAGAAAGGUAUUGUCACUGCCAAAAGUAUGUCUGAGGAAUUUUAAAAAUGCUAGUUUAUAUAUGCUUUCUGUGCCUCCUGUACAUACUACUCAAAAUUCAUGUGUGCUUCUUUUAAGAGAUAUGGUUCUUCUGAUCAGUGAACAAAACUGCCAGGUGUUCCCAGGAUACAUCAUUAGGACUUUUUCCAGUGCCAUUCUUUUCCCUCUUAGCAUUUUUUUAGUUGGAGUUUCGACAUUUUUUGCAUUCAUCAUGGCAACCCCUAAUGUAAGCUAUUGACUCCUAUGAUGUCAAGAUACCUGGUACCUGUCACCUGGUAACUUUGGUUGCUUAGAUAUCAGCUAUAUUGGAAACUAGUGGAAUCAAACAAAAAAACCCCAAAAAAUAAAAGGGUUGAUUGCAUGUUGUAGGUCCUACAAAUUACUUCUCUCAAAUCUGAAUUGUCUGGGACCUGAUUGGGACAAGCACCACAUUAAUUUGGCCAGUAGUUCAUAAGUAAUAAACAGGAGGUUUUAUGAGUUUUAUAUAUUGAUAAGCACAUUGCAUCUGACAUUGACUGCGUGCGUCUCGCUAUAAAAAAUCACAGUAGCUCUCAGAGCCUAUGUUCUAGUGAUCUUAAUUUUGUUGUGCCAGCAGACAAAGAUAGUAAGCAUCUACAAAUAGAAUACUUAAGCAGUUUGAGUUCAGUUGGAUAACUGUAUUUAGUAAACAUUUUUAUCAUAUACUGUCUGACAUAAUUUACGGGUUCCUAUUCAGGGUUAUCUUUGUAGAACUAUGUAUGAGGAAAGCUCUGGAGAUAGCAAAACUAGCACGACAAAGAACUUUAUUAUCUCAUUGAGGAAGUGUUGCUAGAAGAGGCUAGUGAGAUCACAAGAAAACCAUUGUAGAAGUUAAUACAUUCUGUCAAUGCAUAAAUGUAUUGUAGUGUGUAAAGAAGAAAAGGAAAAUGUGUACAUUUAAUUUGUAAUGUGUAAAUAUUUUCAUUUUUCAUGCUAUUUUCAAUCUCUUCCAAAGCUUUGAAAGAUAAACUUCCCAUAAGCAACUAGGAUUUCUUGUUUGCUCCCUGGAAAAUAAAUUAUUUAUGGAUUGAAACAGUAGGAUGGGCAAUCACAUGUAAAUAAGUUUUCUGAAGCUUCUGAGGAAAAAAGUAGGAAUAAUUACAAAGAAGUGUGGUGGUGGAUUUGUUAACAUCCUGUGUUGUUUAGAUUUAAGUGUUUUAGUUUUUACAGAAAAAGAUGUCUCAACAGGUAUCAUGGUGGGGAUUUCUUGGACAAUAGAAACCAACAAAAAUCCCCAAAACUUUAGAGAAGCAUUUCCUUUACUUUUAGUAAUUCUUCUGUUGAGGGAAUUAGUAUAGUAAUUAUUCUUAUCCAAAAGAGCAAAAAGUUUAAGAUAAUAUAAAUAAAAUAGUCUAUGUCUGGAUCUUAACGUUUCUGUAUCUUUCAGGAAUAAGUAAAUAAUUUAUAUAACAGACAGCUUAACAGAUGCCAUUAGUAUUUAAAUAAUAUCUAGAAGAUAUCUGCACUGUGUUUAGGAAGACUUAUUACUAUAUGAUUUUUUGUAAUUUUUUUUUUCUGUAAGAACUUUUGUUGUACUCCUAAAUAUGUGAGUACAACUAAUGUCUUGGGAUGUGCUCUGACUUGCAGUGUACUUAAGGCAGGUAAUGUCCAAAUUAUAUUGUCUGGGCUAAAAUAGCCCAAAUAAUGAAGGUUUUAUUUAGGCUAGUCCUUCAGGUGCUUUUACCAGACUCUUAAAAUGAUGUGUAAAUUACAUGGCUUACUAUAAAUCCUGUAAAUCUCCCUUUCUCAGCUGAAGUGCAUUUCCUAGUUGUUUUCUCCUUUUUUCUUGAUAAAGGGCACUAGGCCCAGCAUAGAAACCCACACUAAAAGUAUUCCUUUCUGUGACCAUUGGCAUCAUCACUGCACAUACCAGUUCAAAGUCGAUGCUGUCUUCGCUAUAAUUUUCUUGGUGUCUUCCAGUCAUGCCACUGCAUUUAUUGGUCUUUAAAUAAAGACCAAUAAAUGCAGUGGUUUCUCUGUAUCUGAGAAUGGGGGUAGCCAUUUCAUAGGUCUGAGGCUGAAAGGAUGCUUCCCUCACUAGCCUUUUCCCUUAACAUUUUCCACCCACAGGGUUCUGCAUAGCAGUUUGUCCAGAGACAGUAUGGUCAUGGGCCAUGAUGAGAAGGAGGAUGUUGUUGUAGAUGGGAUAGAUUCACUCUCAGUUUUUAAGAAGACUGUGACAAACAGAACCAAGCAGAAGGACAUAGAUGGUUUUCAGUGAAAUUCCGUCCUACCCUUUGGCAAUCUUUAUCAGCUUAAAUCGUUCAAGUCCAUAAGAAAUAAGAGGAAAUGUGAAUGAGGGGCUAGAUUCACAAAACUAAUGGCAAAGAAGUGAUAUUCCUCUUCCUUGAAGUAUGUACCUCUGGGUGUAAACCACCAAAACUGGAUGAGGAAGUUGUUAUUCUUUUCCUCAGGAGGUGUGAAUUUAAUCCUUUAACCCAAAUUAUUGUCCCAGCUAUCAGCACCUUCAGGCUUGAAGGAAUGUCUAUAUUUGGAGGCACGUCAAUUAAUUCGCAUAUCAGAUCCAUCAUUGUGACUUCUUGCAGACCAGAUCUGAGAAGUAACCAGGAACCUGACCCUUAGUGGAGAAUGGAAAAACCCUUCAAGUCAGAGCACAACUGAUCACUAGUGUAAUCUGCAUUGAAUCAUCUUUCUCAGAUCUGGCAGCUACAAGCUGGGUCCUGGCAAAAGCCACAGCCUUAAAUUCCAUUCAGUGGGAAAGAAGGAUAAGAGAACUAAAUGUCUUGCCCCGUUGCAGAAACUGCUGUCUCCAAGCCUGACACCAGAGUUCUGUGCUGACCAACCAGAGUACCAAAUGAGUUUUUUAUGGGUACAGCCAGCAUCAACAAAUACUUCAAAAUGUAGCCAAAAGGAGAAACAAAGCACUUACGUAAUUUCAGAAAAUGAAUACAUUUAUUGUAACAGAGGAAUGUUACUGUCUGUGGGGAAGAACACCUCUGUCAUCCCUUGUAUAUAUUCAAAGCCAUACAGGAACAGGGCAUAAGUGAAGUUCAGUCACUUAAAAGGACGCUGUCUCCUGUCCUCCACCCAACUUUGAGGAAGUUCCGCUCUUAGAGAUUGCAUCUUGAUGCACUUCUAGUAUUUGCACUGUCACUUCCAUUCAGGGUAAUGAUGUGUGCCACCAUUUGCACAGAUGGCCCCAGGAGAUUUUUGACCAUAACAAGCUAUACUUUGCCAGGGCUCCAAAAGGAAUUAAAAAGUUAGAGCUGAAGAAAGACAGUUAUGCUCUCUUUCACUAUGGGGAUCUCUUCACAGAAAGGACUAUGGUCCUUUUUUAGGAUGAAAUAAAUACAUGCAUAUACAUACAUAUAUACAUAUGUAUAUAUAUGAAAAAGCAGAAACAUGAUAAGGUGUAUUUAAAAAGGGGAUACAAUCUUUUUUAAUAGCAUCCAUUUUUUUUUUUAUCAUAUUAGCAGCCAAGAAAUUUAGUCUAUUGAAUUAUACAUCAAAAAAUGUUCCUAUUGAACAUUGACAUUUAGUCCCAGUUACUGCUAAAGAAGUCAUUUGUAAUAUGUACUUGACAUAAAAUUUUUCUAGCCAUUUGUCUAUACUUCGUGGAGAAAUCUAGACAAGCAACAUUUUCAGUUUAUUUUUCUAAAUAAAUAUGUUGUUUGUAUUAUUUGCAGUCACUCAUUUUGGCUGGUUUUCAUUAUCUCCAAAAGUGAUUUAAAGACAGAACCAAAACACAGGAAUUGUUUGUUCUUUGUUAAGCUGUAAUGAUUUGCUGAAUGAAAGCUUUAAUAUAAAUACUGUAAUUUGUAAAAUGAUGAAGUAUAUUUAUAUAGGCAAAUAUGUAUGGAAAACAAAAGGAGGUAUUUUAACUCUUAAUUUCAGAACAUAGUUUAUUUUAAUAUCCACAGGAUGAAAUUAAAUAUAUAAUGGGAUAGGGUUUUUAUUAUCAGUAAGUUUUAGUAAGUGAAAAUUUGGAUGUUUAAGAAUGAAAUGAAUGUAGUCAAAUAAUGGUGGUUUCCCAAAUUAUACAGAGACCUUUUGCCACCUGUCUCAUUUUACUCAAAAACUGGUUUAGUCAUUUGGGGGGUUGGGUUUUUCUGGGGUGCGUGUGUGCUAAGGUUUUUGUUUGGUGUUUUGUUUGUUUUGGCAUACUGACAAGAUCUUGAAUUUGAUACUAUUUCUCUAAUUUGAAAAGCUACAGAAUAAUAGGUUGUUUCUUGGAACAAUCUACAGUUUACAGUUAAGAAUAGUCAUUGUUAUCCAUCUAAUGCAGUGUUUUGUUGUAGAGUUAUUGAACAUUUCAAUGCUAGAGCUGUUUUGAAUAAAAAUAUUUUUUCCUUUUUUCUCUUAGUCCAUUAGCCUAUGUGUAAUUUUAAGAGAAAACUAGUGCAUUUGGUUCCCACUUCACUUAAAUCAUUCAUCUUAAAUCCAGUUAUAUGUAUCUGAUUUAUAAAGUUGAGUAGGCUUUUCUUUCAGAUCAUUGCUUUAUGGAACUGUUUAAGUGCUCACUAACAGAAAAAUUACAUUUCAACAACAAAAAUUAAUAAAAAAAUUCUGUGGGUUAACUUUGUGAAGGGCAGAUAUCCUAAAAAUUUGUUGUUCUGCUCUAAUGUGCUAACAAGUGUUAUGCGUGUAUGUUCGUGUGUGUGUGCACGCAUGGCACCCUUACCUGCUCAUGAAUGAAAUGCCAACUCUGCUGAAGUAAGUGCCACAAGUCCUGUUACUGCAAAAGAUGCUCAUGUUACUGUAUUUCUUGGUGAAAGACCUGAGCUCUGUCUUUGCUUGUGACUCUGAAGCCAUAAACAGCUUUUGAAGUUUGUCAGGAAAUCGGAAAAUUAAAUAAGUUUAUGUUAGAUUCCCUCAUUUGGUAAAAAUAGCGAUGAUCUUAUGAUUUGACUCUUUUCAUGAAAGUUAGUGGUCAAUUUCCUUUGGUGCAAUGGAUAAAUGAAAACUUUGUAUUUGUUAAAGAAUGAUGGCUGUGUUUUGUUCACACACAAUUUAGCUUUUGGCUUAUAGUGUUCUUACUGUGAUGUCAUUUCUGUGUCAUUAGAAUAACUUAUUUGGACACACAACAGGCAUUGGCUUGGUUUUCCUCCCUUUUUGGAUAAACUGUUAUUUUAAAAUUGGAGAGCUUGUUCUUUGAGAGAAGUGUUCAGUUGUUUAAGGAAGGGACAACAUUAUUGAAACAAUUAGAAAAUUUCAGAAUGAUAAUUUGAACACUUUAAUUAUUGCCUAAUAAUAAUGCUUGGAAAAGCUCUUAUUUUUGUGAACAAAAUGCAUUCAUCUGUAUCUGAAAAUAGCCCAAUAAAAAUCCAGUGGAAUUAAUUGUUACUACUUGCAAAUACUUUUCUGCUAUGCUGAGUUCUAAAUCAGCUUGUGUGUAAAAAUUUUGUUGCACAAAACCCACCUGAAACAAUGCACAGUUUUCUUCAGAAAAAAUAUAUGACAUAUGAAAAAUAAUUACUUGGUCCCAGGAGUGGUUUUAUAUAAUGUGUGCAAUGCAAAAAUGAUGAACAGAUACCAACAUGUUGGCAUAAUUUAAGUGACAAAUGUAAUUGGAAGAUAACACUGCAAACCCUAGUUCUCAUCAAUCACAUGCUGUUAUUUGCACCUUUGCUUUACUGGGACUUCAUGCUGGAAAGUAAAUUUCAGUGUGUGUUCACACUCAUUCGAUGUCAUGUACCAUGCCUUAUUUUACUACCAGUGUCACUGGGAGAAAUCCACGUUGCUUGAUUUUUGUAGAUUUAAAUUAAAUCUUUAGAUAAGUGUUCAAUAUUGGAUAUAAAUUGAGAUGAUAUCUGUCUAUUGUGCAGAAACUCCCAUGACACAGCAUUUCAACACACAAUUUCAGAAAUUGUUGGCAAAUAAUUAACACUGAAAUGCUUUUUCAUAGUUUAAAACCAGAGAAAACAAUUGGAUUAUCUCAUUAAACAGCAAAAAAACUGUGUUAUUUCCAUUAUGUUCAUCCAAGCAUACUGACAGGACCAGCAGAAUUUUUUCAACUUACAGUGACGGAUGGGUCCUUUUGUAGGUUUAUGUGUCAUGCAUUUAAGAAGUGCCUACAGAAAUAGUUCUAGAGUAAUCCUGCAUUGUUUCAUUAGCUGGCAUCUGAAAAGCCACCUGAAGCGGCCAAUAGGCUUGAAAUGGUGAGGUGUGUGAAACAAAAUGCUGACAGUUCUGGACGUGUCUACAAGACAUGAUUUCAGCACUUGAAUUUUUAACAGACAAGGAUUACCAUCAUUCAUGAGGAAAAUAGGGGUAUUUUAAAAUAGCUCUUUUGUGGAGUGGAAGAAAAGGAUUACAAAAACCUGGUGAUCACCAGGAUCUUAUGAAAGUGUCCCUCUCCGGAUACGGUUGCCCCAAGUGCCACAUGUUGUGAGUAUCCCCAAGGGACAGAUUUUUUUCUCUGAUCAGUGAUGUGCUGGGUACAUAGCAAGGCAAUGAUGCUGUUAAUAAAACCUGACCACAAGAUAGUGGUCGGAUAUUGUCUAAGGAGGGGUGGAUGAAGGACAGCCAUCACUCUGCCCUGGAGCUCCCCUGAAGGCAGGAGGCUGUUACUGAGACUGGAUCUUAGAGAGAAAAUUAGAUUGGACAGAGUGACACAUACUUUGCAGUAAGAUUACUUAGAGGACUGCUGAGACUAAAUUAGUAAUUUUUGUGGACUGGACAGUUAAAAGAUGAGAGAGGAAGCAAAAGCCAGGUGGAUGUUGUUCAAAUUACUUCUCUCUCUAGAUUCAGUAUCCUUGCAGGGCUGCUAAGAAGCCAUGAAAUCUCCCCACAGCUGGGGUGAACUUCAGAAAGGACAAUUAUAAACAAGAGCUUCAGGAGAAUCUGGAAGGAAUACUAAGAGGGUCACUAAGAGGGUCAAGUCAUGGCAGAUGGCACAGAGACUAUUUAAGGUAUUAUUGAAGGCAGAGAACAAAUACAUUCUGCUUAGCUAGAAAGGCUUGAGAAAGGGUAAAAGGGAAACCACAUGGCUAAUCAGCAGGGUAUCAGGCUACUGAGGGCAAGACAUCCUUCAGAUUGAUGGAGAUUUUUAAAGAAAAUGUGAGGACUGUAAGCUUCUUAAGACUAAAUGUAAAUUAAAAAAAAACAAACAGCAAACCCACAUCAAGGUUAAUCAAAAUAAUUCCAAGAUACUUAAGAGAUUUCUCAACUGAAAUAGUUGAAAGAAACAAGAAUUAAGAAAUUCUGUUUCUACAAAAGAGCAGAGGCAAGUCUGAGAGACUGUCUGUACUGCUGAAAGAUAAUCAAGGAAAAGAGAAGCACUUAGAAGAAGCUAUAGGAACAAAAUUGUAAUGCUUUAAUUCUGCUUGUGCUGUAGAAGGACUUUUGUAGAUUCUGACGCCUUAAUUUUUGUGGGGGAGCUCAUAUGAAGUCAUGCUUUUUCAGUUCAAGGUGGUACAAAACAAAAUGAAGGGAUGUACACCUAAGUUUUUUAAAGACACUCAGGGAUGAAAUAGCCCAAUGGUAGCUGUGAUGCAUUCUUUAAAGCUAUUUUGAUAGCUUUUGAGAUGUGAGAUUAUGGCAACUAUGUUGCCAGUUUUAGAUUGAAAGAGUUUAGGCCAUUAAAUCAGUACUGGGCAAAAUGGUUCAAACCAUAAUAAAUACCUUUUUAAAAAGAACUAGAAUGCAUCUAACAGUGUCAAUAUUACCAAACACUGCAGGAAAGCGCACAGAUGGCUAAGAGAAAACACAGAGGAAACUGCAGCUGGCUAAGAGGAAAGUUCCUGCAUUCAUAAAAGAUUGUAAAAUAUUGGAGAAGAUACGAAUUUUUUGGUCAGUUUUCACAGGGUUACAGAGCCCAAGAGUGAAGUUCUAUGGGACAUAUACUGGGGUCCAUGUGUCUCAAAAUAUAUUUGAACAUGUGAAUAUGCUGGAAAAGUAGUGUAUCAUUAUUUGGUAAAUUUGGUGAUCAUACUAAGUUAUUAAAGGUGUUAAAUAGGA
RNA transcript from Corvus hawaiiensis (hawaiian crow), 19797 nucleotides. It is a transcript of the gene named proline rich 16, with no coding region annotated. The transcript has 6 exons. The record is from RefSeq and is a predicted model, not a curated record. NCBI's taxonomy places the organism in Eukaryota, Metazoa, Chordata, Aves, Passeriformes, Corvidae.